Non-coding RNA from Lampris incognitus (smalleye Pacific opah), 274 nucleotides. RefSeq annotates it as small Cajal body-specific RNA 6. The record is from RefSeq and is a predicted model, not a curated record. NCBI's taxonomy places the organism in Eukaryota, Metazoa, Chordata, Actinopteri, Lampriformes, Lampridae. The transcript has a single exon.
GGUCAAUGAUGAACAGUAAAAGGUCUGAUUACCCAGAAUCCCCUCCUAGCUGCCCUUUGGCUCCCAGCAACUCUUGCUCUCUAACCAUCAUGCUCAAGUGAUGCAGUGCUGGUCCCAGGAGCUGCUGACAGAGCUGGAUGUGACAUCACAGUUUGAGUCUAAGAGACCCUAUUGGCUCAGUGUGAUAAUGGGCAUCCAACAUAACAAAUCAGCAUGGAGCAUCGGGGUGUGGGAGGAGGAUGGGGCACUGAUCUCAAGUUUUCAAGCUGAGACC